UAAUGUAUUUAUUAUUUAUUUGAGUAGUAUUAGUUAUGAUCUUGAAACUUAAAAAAUUUGGCGGUAUUUUAGUCUAUUCAGAGGAACCUGUAUAUUAAUUGAUAUUCCACGUUGAAUCUUACUUAAAUUUGUUUUAGUUUAUAUAUCGUCGUUAUAAGAAUAUUUUUUAAAAAUUAAUAAUUUUCUUUAAUUUUUAUAAAAAUUUAUAUCAGAUAAAGGUGUAGCUUAUAUUUAAGUUUUAUUAUGGGUUACAAUAAAUUAAUUUAAAUGAAUAUAAAAUUGAAAUGUUUUAUUGAAAGUGGAUUUGAUAGUAAAAUAAUAUAGAUAAAUUAUUUGAUUUUAGCUAUAAAAUAUG
This 355-nucleotide ribosomal RNA is filed under the name Jassidophaga fasciata. Its description in RNAcentral is "partial 12S ribosomal RNA". The record is from RNAcentral. Lineage: Eukaryota; Metazoa; Arthropoda; Insecta; Diptera; Pipunculidae.